UAAGGCCAAAGACCCCCUAAGCCGUCAUACGCUCUACGAAGGCACGAAGCCCAAACACGAAAGUAGCCUUAAUAAAUUUCCUGACCCCACGAAAGUUAGGAAACAAACUGGGAUUAGAUACCCCACUAUGCCCAACCCUAAACCUAGAUGAAAAAACACAAAAUCAUCCGCCAGGGGACUACAAGCACAGCUUAAAACCCAAAGGACUUGGCGGUGCCUCAGACCCACCUAGAGGAGCCUGUUCUAGAACCGAUAAUCCCCGUUAAACCUCACCACCCCUUGCUUUCCCCGCCUAUAUACCGCCGUCGUCAGCUUACCCUAUGAAGGCCAAACAGUAAGCAAAAUGAGUUCAACCCAAAACGUCAGGUCGAGGUGUAGCGCACGAGGUGGAAAGAAAUGGGCUACAUUUUCUAUCACAGAAUAUCACGAAUAGUGCCCUGAAAACAGCACCUGAAGGAGGAUUUAGUAGUAAAAAGCAACCAGAAAGUCCUUUUGAAUUAGGCUCUGAGGCGCGCACACACCGCCCGUCACUC
RNAcentral lists this ribosomal RNA (533 nucleotides) under Harttia sp. LGC1145. Its description in RNAcentral is "partial small subunit ribosomal RNA". It matches the Rfam family "Bacterial small subunit ribosomal RNA", at positions 657 to 1402 of the family's 1533-position model. RNAcentral also lists the same sequence under 1 other name. The record is from RNAcentral. Lineage: Eukaryota; Metazoa; Chordata; Actinopteri; Siluriformes; Loricariidae.